CGGGUUCCUGCUGCCUCCCAGGUGUGCUUUGUAAGACAGCGCACGCCCACACCUUAAUCAGGGGAUGUUCACCAAGCAUGCCUCUACACUGAGCAUGCACCAGGCACCGUGGAGGAGUGUGCUGGUCCCCAUGCCCAGAAGCUCACAGUCAUUCUGGGGGGACAGUGGUAACACCUGAAACAAAAGCAACUGAUACAGGGCAGUGGGGGAAGUUGUGCCGUUCAUCCAGUGGAGACCUACACCCAGGAAUCAUGCAGCAGGCAUGCGGAGGGACACGGAGGCGGAGCCCCGCCUAGCUGAGGAGAGAAGGGGCAAAGCAGAAAGUGCUGGUGUCAGGAGACAGCAGAUGACACGCUGCAGGCAUUGGAGGGCAGGGAGUAGCCAUCGCUGCUACCUGGCAUGGCUUAGUGGAGCCAUGACUGAGCUGAGCUGGGUAUUGAAGGACAAGGAGGCACCGGCUUUCCAGGCAGUUGGGGACGGAGAGAGCAAAGGCCUGAAGGCUAGAUGCCUGGCCUGCAUGAAAGGAGCUUCAUAAAGCAACACGAGGGAUGUUUCUCCGCUUUGCAGACAGCCAACAUGUGCCGCGGGAGCCCUGAGAUGAUUCCGAUGCACGGAGGGAGCCGGGAAACGCUGGUAUUUCUGCCUGUCACUUAUUAUCUGGUUGAGCUGGUGGCGGGAGUCCCGGCCCAUGUGUGUUACCAGAGGGAUGGUCUAGAGAAUGAAUCCAUCUGUCAGAGGCAUCCAAGAAGAAAGGCCUGGGCCAGGAUCACAUGGAAGACCCUGAAGACAGGAUCGGGUCUUGCCUGCCUGGAUUGAACAGAGACGCAGUGACCAGUCCCAUCUGCUCCCACCCUGCUGCCCUCUGAAUCGAGAGUUUGAGGCCAUGACCAGGGUAACGUUCAGCUGGUAGAGACAACACAACCCUGCUGGCUGUUUAAGCCAUGCUGGAGUGGUGCUCACAGGGUAACAAUUUUCAAGUGCUACGGAUGCAAUAGCUCAGCGACUGGCAGCGCAGCACGUACCUGCUGUCGUGGGAGGUGAGAGCCACCAGUGCCCGACAGCGGCUGCAAGGCAGUGGUGGCGCUCUGCAGCCAGCCGGCCCACCCCUCCAACAUCUGCAAGGGGGUGGGAGGCUGCCUCACCAAGCUACCUGCUACUCAUGGGGGCGAUGGGCAUCAGGGUGGCCUGCCUGGAGGCUCUGAACCCGUCUCCAGCGGCAGAUAUCUCCAGUAACUGGGCUGGCAUGUCCGUGCCCUGCGCUGCUCUCUUCUCUCAGCUUCCCUUUGCAACCAAGGCUGAUUCCCACAGUCAGUCUCUCCCCCAGAGAACAUGAAGGAAGAUGCCUGAGGGACAACAUUAACUUGUCAGGAACAGGGGCCUGGGAGGAGUGUGGAUGUGGGCUCAGGUACGGGCAUGCACCUUGAGUGUGUGCAUGUGGGGGUCAGUGUGCAAGCCUGCCGUGGUGUGUGUGGGUCCGUGGGGGUCCCCAUGUUCCCGGGUCUAUGUGGGUGGGGUGGUAUGCACUGUGUGUGUUUAGGGUGCUUGUGCAUGUGUGAGUGUGUACAUAUCUGCAUUCAUUCCUGUGUGUGUCUGCGUCUGUGUCUGUGUGUGUGUGUCUGUGUCUGUGGGUGUGUGUGUGUGUGUGUGUGGGUGUGUGUGUGUGUGUGUACCAUCAGCCCUCCAUAUCCACAGGUUCUGUAUCCUUGGAUUCAACCAACCAUGGAAUAAAAGUACUAACAAAAAGGA
Molecule: long non-coding RNA, 1746 nt
Filed under: Homo sapiens (human)
Lineage: Eukaryota; Metazoa; Chordata; Mammalia; Primates; Hominidae
Description: HSALNT0366199
Source: RNAcentral